This 497-nucleotide ribosomal RNA is filed under the name uncultured bacterium. Its description in RNAcentral is "partial 16S ribosomal RNA". It matches the Rfam family "Bacterial small subunit ribosomal RNA", at positions 28 to 507 of the family's 1533-position model. The record is from RNAcentral.
GAUGAACGCUGGCGGCGUGCCUAAUACAUGCAAGUCGAGCGAACGGACGAGAAGCUUGCUUCUCUGAUGUUAGCGGCGGACGGGUGAGUAACACGUGUAUAACCUACCUAUAAGACUGGGAUAACUUCGGGAAACCGUAGCUAAUACCGGAUAAUAUUUUGAACCGCAUGGUUCAAAAGUGAAAGACGGUCUUGCUGUCACUUAUAGAUGGAUCCGCGCUGCAUUAGCUAGUUGGUACGGUAACGGCUUACGAAGGCAACGAUGCAUAGCCGACCGGAGAGGGUGAUCGGCCACCCUGGAACUGAGACACGGUCCAGACUCCUACGGGAGGCAGCAGUAGGGAAUCUUCGGCAAUGGGCGAAAGCCUGACGGAGCAACGCGGCGUGAGUGAUGAAGGUCUUCGGAGCGUAAAACUCUGUUAUUAGGGAAGAACAUAUGUGUAAGUAACUGUGCACAUCUUGACGGUACCGAAUCAGAAAGCAACGGCUAACUACGUG